This 78-nucleotide transfer RNA is filed under the name Candidatus Bathyarchaeota archaeon. Its description in RNAcentral is "tRNA-Arg". It matches the Rfam family "tRNA". Rfam says of the family: Transfer RNA (tRNA) molecules are approximately 80 nucleotides in length. Their secondary structure includes four short double-helical elements and three loops (D, anti-codon, and T loops). The record is from RNAcentral. Lineage: Archaea; Thermoproteati; Candidatus Bathyarchaeota.
GGGCCCGUGGCGCAGCCCGGAUGGCGCAUCGGCCUUCUAAGCCGGGGGUCGCGGGUUCAAAUCCCGCCGGGCCCGCCA